GCACUUUUUUAGGUUGACACAGUGUUUUCAGAGACUAUCACAGAAAAGUAAAGUCAUUCUCCAUAAAGAUGUUAAAACUCCUCUCUGGAUCCUGUUUGGAGUCACAGCU
Molecule: small nucleolar RNA, 109 nt
Filed under: Carlito syrichta (Philippine tarsier)
Lineage: Eukaryota; Metazoa; Chordata; Mammalia; Primates; Tarsiidae
Description: Small nucleolar RNA SNORA26 (ENSTSYG00000024127.2)
Rfam family: Small nucleolar RNA SNORA26
About the family: The snoRNA HBI-6 belong to the H/ACA family of snoRNAs, guiding the pseudouridylation of position U4522 if the 28S rRNA. HBI-6 is the human orthologue of mouse MBI-6 snoRNA.
Source: Rfam by way of RNAcentral